UACGUAGGGUGCGAGCGUUGCCCGGAUUUAUUGGGCGUAAAGGGCGCGUAGGCGGCUCGGCACGUCCGUUGUGAAAUCGCCCGGCUCAACUGGGCGGGGUCGGCGGAUACGGCCGAGCUUGAGCAAGCUAGGGGGUAAUGGAAUUCCCGGUGUAGUGGUGGAAUGCGUAGAUAUCGGGAGGAACACCAGUGGCGAAGGCGGUUUCCUGGAGCUUUGCUGACGCUGAUGCGCGAAAGCGUGGGGAGCGAUCCGG
RNAcentral lists this ribosomal RNA (253 nucleotides) under uncultured bacterium. RNAcentral's name for it is "partial 16S ribosomal RNA". It matches the Rfam family "Bacterial small subunit ribosomal RNA", at positions 524 to 776 of the family's 1533-position model. The record is from RNAcentral.